AUGGAACUUAAUAGUCGAGAAAAUAAGGCUCCGCCGGGGAAAGAACUAACUACUUUACCCGGUAAAAAGAAGUGCUCUGCUUGUAAAGAGACAUCACACAAUUUGGAUCAAUGCAGGAUAAAAGACAAAUUGGGUACUAUGGCCCAGCUAUUUGGACAUUCUACAAGGUUCCCGUUCUACAUGAUUCAACCUUCAAAGGAAGUUGUCGAAAAUGAAAAAUUCUAUCAUCACUGCCUGCUGAUCACAUCUAAUGCCUGUAACUUGGACCCGACAAGAGUGAAAACUGAACUAAACAAGUUCUGGAAGCUGACUGAUGACUGGCAUAUAAAGAGAGAAGGUAGGCAGAAUUUCGUAGCAUCCUUCAACUCAGAGGAUGACCUACUAAGCUGUUUAAAGCCUCCCAAUGUAGAAACAUUUCUGGAUGAAAAGGAGGUGAAUUUCACUGUAGCACGGUGGGAUGAAGGUGAUUAG
RNAcentral lists this ribosomal RNA (471 nucleotides) under Triticum aestivum (bread wheat). Its description in RNAcentral is "partial small subunit ribosomal RNA". Lineage: Eukaryota; Viridiplantae; Streptophyta; Magnoliopsida; Poales; Poaceae. The record is from RNAcentral.